GAUGAACGCUGGCGGCGUGCCUAAUACAUGCAAGUCGAGCGAACAGACGAGGAGCUUGCUCCUCUGACGUUAGCGGCGGACGGGUGAGUAACACGUGGAUAACCUACCUAUAAGACUGGGAUAACUUCGGGAAACCGGAGCUAAUACCGGAUAAUAUAUUGAACCGCAUGGUUCAAUAGUGAAAGACGGUUUUGCUGUCACUUAUAGAUGGAUCCGCGCCGCAUUAGCUAGUUGGUAAGGUAACGGCUUACCAAGGCAACGAUGCGUAGCCGACCGGAGGGGGUGAUCGCCCACACUGGAGCGGAGACACGGUCCAGACUCCUACGGGAGGCAGCAGUAGGGAAUCUUCCGCAAUGGGCGAAAGCCUGACGGAGCAACGCCGCGUGAGUGAUGAAGGUCUUCGGAUCGUAAAACUCUGUUAUUAGGGAAGAACAAAUGUGUAAGUAACUAUGCACGUAUUGACGGUACCUAAUCAGAAAGCCACGGCUAACUACGUG
This 497-nucleotide ribosomal RNA is filed under the name uncultured bacterium. RNAcentral's name for it is "partial 16S ribosomal RNA". It matches the Rfam family "Bacterial small subunit ribosomal RNA", at positions 28 to 507 of the family's 1533-position model. The record is from RNAcentral.